RNAcentral lists this ribosomal RNA (649 nucleotides) under bacterium HN8-A-04. RNAcentral's name for it is "bacterial SSU rRNA". It matches the Rfam family "Bacterial small subunit ribosomal RNA", at positions 338 to 974 of the family's 1533-position model. The record is from RNAcentral.
CCUACGGGAGGCAGCAGUAGGGAAUCUUCCGCAAUGGACGAAAGUCUGACGGAGCAACGCCGCGUGAGUGAUGAAGGCUUUCGGGUCGUAAAACUCUGUUGUUAGGGAAGAACAAGUACGAGAGAGUAACUGCUCGUACCUUGACGGUACCUAACCAGAAAGCCACGGCUAACUACGUGCCAGCAGCCGCGGUAAUACGUAGGUGGCAAGCGUUAUCCGGAAUUAUUGGGCGUAAAGCGCGCGCAGGCGGUUUCUUAAGUCUGAUGUGAAAGCCCACGGCUCAACCGUGGAGGGUCAUUGGAAACUGGGGAACUUGAGUGCAGAAGAGAAAAGCGGAAUUCCACGUGUAGCGGUGAAAUGCGUAGAGAUGUGGAGGAACACCAGUGGCGAAGGCGGCUUUUUGGUCUGUAACUGACGCUGAGGCGCGAAAGCGUGGGGAGCAAACAGGAUUAGAUACCCUGGUAGUCCACGCCGUAAACGAUGAGUGCUAAGUGUUAGAGGGUUUCCGCCCUUUAGUGCUGCAGCUAACGCAUUAAGCACUCCGCCUGGGGAGUACGGUCGCAAGACUGAAACUCAAAGGAAUUGACGGGGGCCCGCACAAGCGGUGGGAGCAUGGUGGUUUAAUUCGAAGCAACGCGAAGAACCUUAC